GACGAACGCUGGCGGCGUGCUUAACACAUGCAAGUCGAACGGAAAGGCCCCUUUGGGGGUCCUCAAGUGGCGAACGGGUGAGUAACACGUGAGUAACCUGCCCUUGACUUCGGGAUAACUUCAGGAAACUGGGGCUAAUACCGGAUAGGAAUCCUUGCUGCAUGGUGGGGGUUGGAAAGCUUCGGCGGUUUUGGAUGGACUCGCGGCUUAUCAGCUUGUUGGUGGGGUAGUGGCUUACCAAGGCUUUGACGGGUAGCCGGCCUGAGAGGGCGACCGGCCACAUUGGGACUGAGAUACGGCCCAGACUCCUACGGGAGGCAGCAGUGGGGAAUAUUGCACAAUGGGCGGAAGCCUGAUGCAGCAACGCCGCGUGCGGGAUGACGGCCUUCGGGUUGUAAACCGCUUUCAGCAGGGGCGAAGCUUGUGGUGACGGUACCUGCAGAAGAAGCACCGGCUAACUACGUG
RNAcentral lists this ribosomal RNA (465 nucleotides) under uncultured bacterium. RNAcentral's name for it is "partial 16S ribosomal RNA". It matches the Rfam family "Bacterial small subunit ribosomal RNA", at positions 28 to 507 of the family's 1533-position model. The record is from RNAcentral.